Molecule: ribosomal RNA, 118 nt
Filed under: Pteropus alecto (black flying fox)
Lineage: Eukaryota; Metazoa; Chordata; Mammalia; Chiroptera; Pteropodidae
Source: RNAcentral
GUCUAUGGCCAUGCCACCCUGAACUUGCCCAAUCUCGUCUGAUCUUGGAAGUUAAGUAGGGUCGGGCUUGGUUAGUACUUGGAUGGGAGACCACCUAAGAAGACCAGUGCUGUAGGUG